UUUGUACUCCCUCCGUCCCAUAUUAAGUGCCGAAAUAUUAGAUGUAUCUAGACAUAUUUUAAUAUAUAGAUACGUCGAUAUUUAGACAAAUUUGAGUCACUUAAUAUGGGACAGAGGGAGUAGUUG
Non-coding RNA from Brachypodium distachyon (stiff brome), 126 nucleotides. Lineage: Eukaryota; Viridiplantae; Streptophyta; Magnoliopsida; Poales; Poaceae. The record is from Rfam.